CUACGGGUCGCUGCAGUGGGGAAUAUUGGGCAAUGGGCGCAAGCCUGACCCAGCAACGCCGCGUGAGGGAAGAAUGUCUUCGGAUUGUAAACCUCUGUCCUUGGGGACGAAAAAAAUGACGGUACCCAAGGAGGAAGCUCCGGCUAACUACGUGCCAGCAGCCGCGGUAAUACGUAGGGAGCAAGCGUUGUCCGGAAUUAUUGGGCGUAAAGGGUGCGUAGGCGGCGCUGUAAGUCAGAUGUGAAAUCCCCGGGCUUAACUCGGGAGUUGCAUUUGAAACUACAGUGCUUGAGUAAAGAAGGGGUAGGUGGAAUUCCUAGUGUAGCGGUGGAAUGCGUAGAUAUUAGGAGGAACACCAGUGGCGAAGGCGACUUACUGGUCUUUUACUGACGCUGAGGCACGAAAGCGUGGGGAGCAAACAGGAUUAGAUACCCUAGUAGUC
Molecule: ribosomal RNA, 442 nt
Filed under: uncultured bacterium
Lineage: Bacteria
Description: partial 16S ribosomal RNA
Rfam family: Bacterial small subunit ribosomal RNA
Source: RNAcentral